This is a long non-coding RNA of Octopus sinensis (East Asian common octopus), 158 nucleotides long. RefSeq lists it as uncharacterized. Lineage: Eukaryota; Metazoa; Mollusca; Cephalopoda; Octopoda; Octopodidae. The transcript has 3 exons. The record is from RefSeq and is a predicted model, not a curated record.
UGCCUUAGUACCGGGCAUCCUCCGGAAGCCAAGGGCACUUUGUUUUGGUAUGCAUGCUAAAAUUAUCACCACAUUUAUUCCAUUUUAGAUGGAGAGUGCCUUCCGUAGUAUAUGGGCUGUACCAACCAAGGUUAUCUUAUAAUCAUCAUCAUUAUCAU